GCUUUACACAUGCAAGUCGAGCGCCCCGCCAAGGGGAGCGGCAGACGGGUGAGUAACGCGUGGGAAUCUACCCAUCUCUACGGAAUAACGCAUGGAAACGUGUGCUAAUACCGUAUACGUCCUUCGGGAGAAAGAUUUAUCGGAGAUGGAUGAGCCCGCGUUGGAUUAGCUAGUUGGUGGGGUAAAGGCCUACCAAGGCGACGAUCCAUAGCUGGUCUGAGAGGAUGAUCAGCCACACUGGGACUGAGACACGGCCCAGACUCCUACGGGAGGCAGCAGUGGGGAAUAUUGGACAAUGGGCGCAAGCCUGAUCCAGCCAUGCCGCGUGAGUGAUGAAGGCCCUAGGGUUGUAAAGCUCUUUCACCGGUGAAGAUAAUGACGGUAACCGGAGAAGAAGCCCCGGCUAACUUCGUGCCAGCAGCCGCGGUAAUACGAAGGGGGCUAGCGUUGUUCGGAUUUACUGGGCGUAAAGCGCACGUAGGCGGACUAUUAAGUCAGGGGUGAAAUCCCGGGGCUCAACCCCGGAACUGCCUUUGAUACUGGUAGUCUUGAGUUCGAGAGAGGUGAGUGGAAUUCCGAGUGUAGAGGUGAAAUUCGUAGAUAUUCGGAGGAACACCAGUGGCGAAGGCGGCUCACUGGCUCGAUACUGACGCUGAGGUGCGAAAGCGUGGGGAGCAAACAGAAUUAGAUACCC
RNAcentral lists this ribosomal RNA (694 nucleotides) under rape rhizosphere bacterium F25. RNAcentral describes it as "bacterial SSU rRNA". It matches the Rfam family "Bacterial small subunit ribosomal RNA", at positions 46 to 787 of the family's 1533-position model. The record is from RNAcentral.